UCGAACGGCAGCACAGGAGAGCUUGCUCUCUGGGUGGCGAGUGGCGGACGGGUGAGGAAUACAUCGGAAUCUACUUUUUCGUGGGGGAUAACGUAGGGAAACUUACGCUAAUACCGCAUACGACCUACGGGUGAAAGCAGGGGACCUUCGGGCCUUGCGCGAUUGAAUGAGCCGAUGUCGGAUUAGCUAGUUGGCGGGGUAAAGGCCCACCAAGGCGACGAUCCGUAGCUGGUCUGAGAGGAUGAUCAGCCACACUGGAACUGAGACACGGUCCAGACUCCUACGGGAGGCAGCAGUGGGGAAUAUUGGACAAUGGGCGCAAGCCUGAUCCAGCCAUACCGCGUGGGUGAAGAAGGCCUUCGGGUUGUAAAGCCCUUUUGUUGGGAAAGAAAUCCAGCCGGCUAAUACCUGGUUGGGAUGACGGUACCCAAAGAAUAAGCACCGGCUAACUUCGUGCCAGCAGCCGCGGUAAUACGAAGGGUGCAAGCGUUACUCGGAAUUACUGGGCGUAAAGCGUGCGUAGGUGGUUGUUUAAGUCUGUUGUGAAAGCCCUGGGCUCAACCUGGGAACUGCAGUGGAAACUGGACAACUAGAGUGUGGUAGAGGGUAGCGGAAUUCCCGGUGUAGCAGUGAAAUGCGUAGAGAUCGGGAGGAACAUCCAUGGCGAAGGCAGCUACCUGGACCAACACUGACA
RNAcentral lists this ribosomal RNA (694 nucleotides) under Stenotrophomonas sp. G-44-1. RNAcentral's name for it is "bacterial SSU rRNA". It matches the Rfam family "Bacterial small subunit ribosomal RNA", at positions 62 to 745 of the family's 1533-position model. The record is from RNAcentral. Lineage: Bacteria; Pseudomonadati; Pseudomonadota; Gammaproteobacteria; Lysobacterales; Lysobacteraceae.